GAUGAACGCUGACAGAAUGCUUAACACAUGCAAGUCUAUGAGAAGAUCUACUUCGGUAGAAGGUUAUCAUGGCGGACGGGUGAGUAACGCGUAAAGAACUUGCCUCUUAGACUGGGAUAACAGAUGGAAACGUCUGAUAAGACUAGAUAUAAUAGCGACAUGGCAUCAUGUUGUUAUGAAAGGUAACACUAAGAGAGAGCUUUGCGUCCUAUUAGUUAGUUGGUGAGGUAAUGGCUCACCAAGACGAUGAUAGGUAGCCGGCCUGAGAGGGUGAACGGCCACAAGGGGACUGAGAUACGGCCCUUACUCUUACGGGAGGCAGCAGUGGGGAAUAUUGGACAAUGGAGGAAACUCUGAUCCAGCAAUUCUGUGUGCACGAUGAAGGUUUUCGGAUCGUAAAGUGCUUUCAGUAGGGAAGAAGAAAGUGACGGUACCUACAGAAGAAGCGACGGCUAAAUACGUGCCAGCAGCCGCGGUAAAACGUCUAC
RNAcentral lists this ribosomal RNA (488 nucleotides) under uncultured bacterium. RNAcentral describes it as "bacterial SSU rRNA". It matches the Rfam family "Bacterial small subunit ribosomal RNA", at positions 28 to 532 of the family's 1533-position model. The record is from RNAcentral.